CCUACGGGAGGCAGCAGUGAGGAAUAUUGGUCAAUGGCCGGAAGGCUGAACCAGCCAUGCCGCGUGAAGGUCAGUGCCCUAUGGGCGUUAAACUUCUUUUGUGCGGGAGCAAUACUGGUCACGUGUGGACAGACGAGAGUACCGUACGAAUAAGCAUCGGCUAACUCCGUGCCAGCAGCCGCGGUUAUACGGGGGAUGCAAGCGUUAUCCGGAUUUAUUGGGGUUUAAGGGUGCGUAGGCUGUGAGGUAAGUCAGAGGUGAAAUGCCCCCGCUCAACGGGGUGAAGUGCCAUUGAUACUGCCUUGCUGGAAUGCGGAUGCCGUGGGAGGAAUGUGUGGUGUAGCGGUGAAAUGCAUAGAUAUCACACAGAACACCGAUUGCGAAGGCAUCUCACGAAUCCGCGAUUGACGCUGAUGCACGAAAGCGUGGGUAUCAAACAGGAUUAGAUACCCUUGUAGUC
This 460-nucleotide ribosomal RNA is filed under the name uncultured bacterium. RNAcentral describes it as "partial 16S ribosomal RNA". It matches the Rfam family "Bacterial small subunit ribosomal RNA", at positions 338 to 795 of the family's 1533-position model. The record is from RNAcentral.